AAAAUGUUGCACAAUCACGAAUCUCAACUAUUGUGGCCGAUAUAUAAGAUGUGCACGACUACUGGCACUCAGAUCUCUUCAUAGCCCUGCUACUUAAAUCUCUAUUACAAAAAGACAGACUGUAAUACAGUUUAAAGAUGAAGUGUGCCUGGAUGUUUCUUGUAUUGUCCAUGGUUGUUAUGAUGGCUCAACCUGGAGAGGGAUUUUUUGGGCUGCUCAUUCAUGGAAUCACUCAUGCAGUUCAUGGUAUAAAGAAGCUCAUCGAUGGGAAAGAGAACCUUGCAGAGCAGCAAGCAGAAGAGCAGCUAUUCAAGCGGUUGUUUGAGGACAAGGCUGCACGGCGCCGUUUUGAUUAGACCAUUUAGCAAAUCUUGCUUUAAUUUUAAAAGAUAUGAGCUUCAUUGAUAAUGUUUUACUUAAGACUUUGAUUUCCUGAAUCAUAAAGUGUCUUUUGAGAUUAAAUCACUAUCACUCACUGUGGUUACUGUUUGUUUGGCUGUUUCAAAAAUAUCCUUUAUAAUAAAAUUUUUGGCGCUUCCA
This is a long non-coding RNA of Cyprinodon variegatus (sheepshead minnow), 540 nucleotides long. RefSeq lists it as uncharacterized. The record is from RefSeq and is a predicted model, not a curated record. Lineage: Eukaryota; Metazoa; Chordata; Actinopteri; Cyprinodontiformes; Cyprinodontidae. The transcript is spliced from 3 exons.